RNAcentral lists this ribosomal RNA (305 nucleotides) under uncultured bacterium. RNAcentral's name for it is "bacterial SSU rRNA". It matches the Rfam family "Bacterial small subunit ribosomal RNA", at positions 337 to 634 of the family's 1533-position model. The record is from RNAcentral.
GCCUACGGGGGGCAGCAGUAGGGAAUCUUCCACAAUGGGCGAAAGCCUGAUGGAGCAACGCCGCGUGGGUGAAGAAGGUCUUCGGAUCGUAAAACCCUGUUGUUAGAGAAGAAAGUGCGUGAGAGUAACUGUUCACGUUUCGACGGUAUCUAACCAGAAAGCCACGGCUAACUACGUGCCAGCAGCCGCGGUAAUACGUAGGUGGCGAGCGUUAUCCGGAUUUAUUGGGCGUAAAGGGAACGCAGGCGGUCUUUUAAGUCUGAUGUGAAAGCCUUCGGCUUCACCGGAGUAGUGCAUUGGAAACU